AAUGAACGCUGGCGGCGCGCCUAACACAUGCAAGUCGAACGGGACCGGGGGCAACUUCGGUUCAGUGGCGGACGGGUGCGUAACACGUGAGGAACAUGACCCUUGGCGGGGGAGUAGCCGGCCCAACGGCCGGGUAAGUACCGCGUACGACCAUUUGGGGACAUCCCUGAAUGGUGAAAGCAGCAAUGCGCCGAUAGAGUGCCUCGCGGCCUAUCAGCUAGUUGGUGGGGUAACGGCUCACCAAGGCAACGACGGUAGCUGGUCUGAGAGAUGGCCAGCCACAUUGGGACUGAGACACGGCCCAGACUCC
Molecule: ribosomal RNA, 310 nt
Filed under: uncultured bacterium
Lineage: Bacteria
Description: bacterial SSU rRNA
Rfam family: Bacterial small subunit ribosomal RNA
Source: RNAcentral